Molecule: transfer RNA, 72 nt
Filed under: Camelus bactrianus (Bactrian camel)
Lineage: Eukaryota; Metazoa; Chordata; Mammalia; Artiodactyla; Camelidae
Also listed under: 2 other names
Rfam family: tRNA
About the family: Transfer RNA (tRNA) molecules are approximately 80 nucleotides in length. Their secondary structure includes four short double-helical elements and three loops (D, anti-codon, and T loops).
Source: Rfam by way of RNAcentral
GAAGAUAUAGAUCAGUGGUAGAGUUUGUGUUUAGCAUGCACAAAGUCUAGGGUUCAAUCCCCAGUACCUCCA